UCGAUCAGGCUGCGUUCACCGCUCAGUUGUCGGGUGCUGUGAAGAACGUUCACGCCAACUAUUAUGCUGGCCCGGCGGGCGCAGCUCCGGUUGAGCCGAACGGCGCUCCGGAAGAUGCUUGGGGCUUCGCGAUCUCGGGGGCCUUCAGCUGAAGAACCUGCCGACCGGCCCUGGCGACAAGCUGUCGUUGGAUGCGACCUAUGCUAACGGUGCG
Molecule: unclassified non-coding RNA, 214 nt
Filed under: Hevea brasiliensis (rubber tree)
Lineage: Eukaryota; Viridiplantae; Streptophyta; Magnoliopsida; Malpighiales; Euphorbiaceae
Source: RNAcentral